GACAGAGGGGGCAAGCGUUGCUCGGAAUCACUGGGCGUAAAGGGCUCGUAGGCGGUUUGUCGCGUCGGGAGUGAAAAUCCAGGGCUUAACUCUGGACUGGCUUCCGAUACGGGCAGACUAGAGGUAUGCAGGGGAGAACGGAAUUCCUGGUGUAGCGGUGAAAUGCGCAGAUAUCAGGAGGAACACCGGUGGCGAAGGCGGGUCUCUGGGCCGAUACUGACGCUGAGGAGCGAAAGCGUGGGGAGCGAACAGG
RNAcentral lists this ribosomal RNA (253 nucleotides) under uncultured bacterium. Its description in RNAcentral is "partial 16S ribosomal RNA". It matches the Rfam family "Bacterial small subunit ribosomal RNA", at positions 524 to 776 of the family's 1533-position model. The record is from RNAcentral.